GACGAACGCUGGCGGCGUGCUUAACACAUGCAAGUCGAACGGAAAGGCCCUGCUUGCAGGGUACUCGAGUGGCGAACGGGUGAGUAACACGUGGGUGAUCUGCCCUGCACUUCGGGAUAAGCCUGGGAAACUGGGUCUAAUACCGGAUAGGAGCCAUUUUUAGUGUGAUGGUUGGAAAGUUUUUUCGGUGUAGGAUGAGCUCGCGGCCUAUCAGCUUGUUGGUGGGGUAAUGGCCUACCAAGGCGGCGACGGGUAGCUGGCCUGAGAGGGUGGACGGCCACAUUGGGACUGAGAUACGGCCCAGACUCCUACGGGAGGCAGCAGUGGGGAAUAUUGCACAAUGGGCGCAAGCCUGAUGCAGCGACGCCGCGUGGGGGAUGACGGCCUUCGGGUUGUAAACUCCUUUCGCUAGGGACGAAGCUUUUGUGACGGUACCUAGAUAAGAAGCACCGGCUAACUACGUG
RNAcentral lists this ribosomal RNA (464 nucleotides) under uncultured bacterium. Its description in RNAcentral is "partial 16S ribosomal RNA". It matches the Rfam family "Bacterial small subunit ribosomal RNA", at positions 28 to 507 of the family's 1533-position model. The record is from RNAcentral.